AUUCAUCAACCCCUCCCGUCUUUGCUGACGGGCCGGGGCUGGACGUGGGGGCAUGCGACCGAGAGGCCGCUCCCCUCAAAUGCGUCGGUUGGACCUGUGGGUCGGACUCGACCGGGCGUUGUACCAUCCUCGCUCCGACGAGAAGUUCCCCGUCUAGCGUCCCUCCUCGACCUGCCGUCGUGCGGCGGUCAAAAGGAAAGGCGCGAGCCUUUCGAA
This 216-nucleotide unclassified non-coding RNA is filed under the name uncultured Agaricomycetes. RNAcentral's name for it is "sequence contains ITS2". The record is from RNAcentral. Lineage: Eukaryota; Fungi; Basidiomycota; Agaricomycetes.